Molecule: ribosomal RNA, 649 nt
Filed under: uncultured bacterium
Lineage: Bacteria
Description: bacterial SSU rRNA
Rfam family: Bacterial small subunit ribosomal RNA
Source: RNAcentral
AUAGAUCGUGUGCGUAAGAUUAGCUAGUUGGUGAGUAACGGCUCACCAAGGCGACGAUCUUUAGGGGGCGUGAGAGCGUGAUCCCCCACACGGGUACUGAGACACGGACCCGACUCCUACGGGAGGCAGCAGUAAGGAAUAUUGGUCAAUGGAGGGAACUCUGAACCAGCCACGCCGCGUGGACGAUGAAGGCCCUAUGGGUUGUAAAGUUCUUUAGUCUGGGACGAAAAAAGGAGAUUUAUCUUCGACUGACGGUACCAGAAGAAUAAGCACCGGCUAACUCCGUGCCAGCAGCCGCGGUAAUACGGAGGGUGCAAGCGUUAUCCGGAAUCACUGGGUUUAAAGGGUGCGUAGGCGGUUUUAUAAGUCAGCGGUGAAAGCGGGUCGCUCAACGAUCCCAUUGCCGUUGAUACUGUUUAACUAGAAUUGGGACGAGGUAGCUAGAAUGUAACAUGUAGCGGUGAAAUGCUUAGAUAUGUUAUAGAACACCGAUUGCGAAGGCAGGCUACUGGACCUUGAUUGACGCUGAGGCACGAAAGCGUGGGUAGCGAACAGGAUUAGAUACCCUGGUAGUCCACGCCCUAAACGAUGCUAACUCGCUGUUGGGCUUAAAGUUCAGCGGCCAAGAGAAAUCGAUAAGUUAGCCACC